RNAcentral lists this long non-coding RNA (1872 nucleotides) under Homo sapiens (human). RNAcentral's name for it is "non-protein coding lnc-NTSR2-5:12". The record is from RNAcentral. Lineage: Eukaryota; Metazoa; Chordata; Mammalia; Primates; Hominidae.
AGUCCUGGAAAUGAUCUUGAUGCUAUCUGUUCCUCGUUACAGCAGACCUGCUCAACUUCAGCAGCUAGAAGGAGGAUUGUCUUUCACCAGCUGCAGGAGCCUGUUCCCACUACAAGCCUGGUGGAGUCUUCGGAGCAGAUGUGACUGUCCUACUUGUAUAGAGAAGAGAAACUGAGGCUCAGAAGAGAUGCCUGGCUGAGUUUAAUAGGACUGCAACAACAAUUUUGCCUUUCUACUUUCUGUGUCCCUCUAGGUUCUCUGAUUGGCUGAAGCUACUCUAAGCCAAGAGAUCAAAGAAGCUGAUAAUGUAGAAUGUAAGUUUGUCUCCUGGGCCACAAUGGAAAGCAGAGACUGUAGCUGGAGGAGUGAAUAGAGGAUAUGCAGCUCUGGUAAUUCUCAGUACAAUUCCCAGUGGUCCACUCUGCAGAAUGAACCAAGUUCCAUUUUGCCCAACUUCUGGCAGUCCACAUUUGGACUGUGAGCUCACCUACAGAUAAAUCGUACGUGGAUUGAUGCAGUAACUGGAUUUGUAGCUGCUAAAUCUUAUUUAAGUGAGGACCUGUCCAGUACAUGUGAAGACCACCCAUCCACUGAAAGUGAUAAGUGAAGCUGAAUCAAUACUAGACUGAAUCAAUACUGAGCUGAAUCAAUACUUUCCCAAUUUUGAGGAAAUCUUGGAAAAUCUCUGAGAAAUGUGGUAGUAAUUAUUUUGAAGAAUUGGAAAACUUUAUAGCUGAUUAUGCUAUGUGUGGAAGAUACAACAGGAUUAUAAGAGAGAGAAGACAAUAUCCUUGCUGUGUCCAGAAGGCUUUAGCCGGGGUGUCCUACUGAGAGAUGACAAACUUAAGGUUUUUCUCUUCCCAGACAUUACUGGACAACUAGCUAUGUAAUUAGGUCUUAUGCCGAAAAGACUGAAAGGAAAACAUCUCAGAUCUAGGAAUGUGAUCAAGAAAGAAGGCUGGUUAAAGAAUAACAUGGGGAAAAUGAAUGCAGUGAAAUGGUUCACGCACAAGUUCUAGGAAUUCAGAGUGCAACAGCAGAAAUGCGAUUUUUGUUAGAUAUUUCAGAAAGUGAUGUGAGUCCCUGAGGUCAUACUGCAGCGUUCAGGUUCUGUUUGGCCUCCUGCACGAAGCUUUCCUUGAUUGGAAAAGCUGCAUACUCUGAAGCACAUCGCAUGUGUCCUGUCUGUAGUUCAUUUCAUUUCCCCAGAUUUGUUAUCAUCCACCAUCACUCAUACAAGCCUACCUUCUUCAUGCCAACCUUUGUAAUCUUUCUACCUUGCUAACCUGGUCAUGUCAAGGACCAGCUAAUAAAUAGCAAAGUUGUACCUUGAGCCAAGGUAUCUUGACUCUUAGUCCAGUGCUCUUUAUAUACCUCUGAAGUCUUAUUUGAGCUUCAAAAUUAUGAGUCUGUGCUCUCAAGAUUUUUUUGAAAAUGUACUUAAUGUUGCCCCUAAGCUUUUAUGAGAAAUAAUAAAGUUCUUUCCAGAUUGAAUAUCUAAUAACUCCAUUUCAUUUUAUGCUUUCUCAUGUAUGGAUGUCUAUAACUGGAAUGCUAUUUGGGCUACUGAGAUAUUUUCUUAAUUCUCUGUUUUGUGUUAGUUCUUUUUGUUUGUUUAUUUGACAACCAUAUUUUUGCACCUGAGAUAAAUCUGGCAUUCUAUUCAACUUCAAUUUCAAAGAGAAUCUGAGAAUGUACUGGUAGAACGAUAUUUGAAUACUAAUAUCUUGGAAAUACAGAAAUAAGUAUCAUACAUUUUGUUACAUUCUGUUUGUGUACAAAUAAUAUAAAAAUCAAUGAAUGAGAAUUUCAUAUUUGAAUUGUAUAUGGAUUGAUGCAAUAACUUGAUUUAGACAAUACUUUUUAUGAAGA